Molecule: long non-coding RNA, 455 nt
Filed under: Meleagris gallopavo (turkey)
Lineage: Eukaryota; Metazoa; Chordata; Aves; Galliformes; Phasianidae
Description: lncRNA (ENSMGAG00000022550.1)
Source: RNAcentral
AAAGAUGGUGAAAUUGUUCACUGGUUACUAUCAUAGACAGAACAAACUCAACCUUAACUAACCUUAAGGCAAGAAAAAUUACCUUAUUUUAUUAUAGUUAAAAAUGUAAGUACUAAUUAGAUAGUAGUAAAUAGAAAGUCUUUAAAAGAAAACCUUUCCUUUGCUUUCUCACAGGCUCAGUUUUACGUCUUUCCUCCAAACUGCCAGCUCCCCACACCAAGUGGUGCAGCAGCAGGUUCUGUCAAACAGCACAUGUUCCUGCAUGGGGUGACUGUCAGCUCAAGACUUCAAACUUGCUUGAAAAUUCUCAGCAUUGUCAUUCCUGUGACUGACCUCUUACAAAGGAAGUAAGAGAAAAGAACAUAAGGCUAUCCAGCUAAGCAGUGGUCUUUUUACUGUCAUUUUUCAUCCUCCAUGCCUUGUUCAUGUGUCUAGCAGUACCUGCUCUAGUUUAC